ACGAACGCUGGCGGCGUGCUUAACACAUGCAAGUCGAACGGAAAGGCCCUGCUUUUGUGGGGUGCUCGAGUGGCGAACGGGUGAGUAACACGUGAGUAACCUGCCCUUGACUUUGGGAUAACUUCAGGAAACUGGGGCUAAUACCAGAUAGGAGCUCCUGCUGCAUGGUGGGGGUUGGAAAGUUUCGGCGGUUGGGGAUGGACUCGCGGCUUAUCAGCUUGUUGGUGGGGUAGUGGCUUACCAAGGCUUUGACGGGUAGCCGGCCUGAGAGGGUGACCGGCCACAUUGGGACUGAGAUACGGCCCAGACUCCUACGGGAGGCAGCAGUGGGGAAUAUUGCACAAUGGGCGGAAGCCUGAUGCAGCAACGCCGCGUGCGGGAUGACGGCCUUCGGGUUGUAAACCGCUUUCGCCUGUGACGAAGCGUGAGUGACGGUAAUGGGUAAAGAAGCACCGGCUAACUACGUG
RNAcentral lists this ribosomal RNA (467 nucleotides) under uncultured bacterium. RNAcentral's name for it is "partial 16S ribosomal RNA". It matches the Rfam family "Bacterial small subunit ribosomal RNA", at positions 29 to 507 of the family's 1533-position model. The record is from RNAcentral.